This 176-nucleotide ribosomal RNA is filed under the name Pigmentiphaga kullae. Lineage: Bacteria; Pseudomonadati; Pseudomonadota; Betaproteobacteria; Burkholderiales; Alcaligenaceae. The record is from RNAcentral.
CCUGACGACCAUAGCAAGGUGGUCCCACUCCUUCCCAUCCCGAACAGGACAGUGAAACGCCUUUGCGCCGAUGAUAGUGGACGGACGUCUGUGAAAGUAGGUCAUUGUCAGGCUAUCUACACCCAAAACCCCCGACCGGAAAACCGGCCGGGGGUUUUGUCUUUGGUGCUCCUGUU